CCAUACACCAAGCUGGGUGCACAGAUGUUCAUUGCAAUGGAAAUCAACUAAUUGGUGCUGCUGAGGUUGCAGCUAGACAAGCUGAUGCAACCGUCUUAGUAAUAGGCCUUGACCAAUCAAUUGAAGCAGAGUUCAGAGACCGGACCGACCUCCUCUUGCCUGGACACCAACAAGAGCUGGUGUCCAGGGUGGCUAGGGCUUCUAGGGGGCCGACCAUUCUGGUCAUAAUGUCAGGCGGCCCUAUUGAUGUGACGUUUGCAAAGAAUGACCCUCGCAUUGGAGCGAUUAUUUGGGUUGGGUAUCCAGGCCAGGCUGGAGGAACUGCCAUUGCUGAUGUUCUAUUCGGCACUACAAACCCAAGU
This 362-nucleotide long non-coding RNA is filed under the name Malus domestica (apple). RNAcentral's name for it is "long non-coding RNA (MDOM_LNC016198)". The record is from RNAcentral. Lineage: Eukaryota; Viridiplantae; Streptophyta; Magnoliopsida; Rosales; Rosaceae.